Molecule: ribosomal RNA, 940 nt
Filed under: uncultured archaeon
Lineage: Archaea
Description: bacterial SSU rRNA
Rfam family: Archaeal small subunit ribosomal RNA
Source: RNAcentral
UUCCGGUUGAUCCUGCCGGACCCCACUGCUAUCGAGAUGGGACUAAGGUAUGCUAGUCGAACGACAAGAACUAUGUCUGGAAGGGGCACACUGCUCAGUAACACGUAGCUAACCUACCCUUAGGACGUGGAUACCCCCGAGAAAUUGGGGUUAAUCCGCGAUAGAUGUAAUGUCCUGGAAUGGUAUUACGUCUAAAGGUAUUUCAUACAUGUUUGAAAUAUGCCUAAGGAUGGGGCUGCGGCCGAUCAGGCUGUUGGUGAGGUAAUGGCUCACCAAACCUUUGACCGGUACGGGCCAUGAGAGUGGUAGCCCGGAGAUGGACACUGAGACAAGGGUCCAGGCCCUAAGGGGCGCAGCAACCGCGAAACCUCCACAAUGCACUCACGUGCGAUGGGGCUAUCUCGAGUGCCACCUGAUGAAGGUGGCUUUUCCUUGGUCUUCAAAGCCUUGGGAAUAAGAGGGGGGCAAGACUGGUGUCAGCCGCCGCGGUAACACCAGCCCCUCGAGUGGUGGGGAUGAUUAUUUGGCCUAAAGCGUCCGUAGCCGGCCAUGUAAGUCUCCCGUUAAAUCCAACGUCUCAAGCGUUGGACUGCGGGAGAUACUGCACGGCUAGAGAGUGGGAGAGGUCAGCGGUAUUCUGGGGGUAGGGGCGAAAUCCUUUGAUCCCCGGAGGACCACCAGUGGCGAAGGCUGCUGACUAGAACACGUCUGACGGUCAGGGACGAAAGCUGGGGUAGCGAACCGGAUUAGAUACCCGGGUAGUCCCAGCCGUAAACGAUGCAUGCUAGGUGUUGGGUUGGCCACGCGCCACCCCAGUGCCGCAGGGAAGCCGUUAAGCAUGCCGCCUGGGAAGUACGAUCGCAAGAUUGAAACUUAAAGGAAUUGGCGGGGGAGCACCACCAGGCGUGAAGCCUGCGGUUUAAUUGGAUUCAACGCCGGG